GACGAACGCUUUCGGCGUGCUUAACACAUGCAAGUCGAACGGAAAGGCCCUGCUUUUGUGGGGUGCUCGAGUGGCGAACGGGUGAGUAACACGUGAGUAACCUGCCCUUGACUUUGGGAUAACUUCAGGAAACUGGGGCUAAUACCGGAUAGGAGCUCCUGCUGCAUGGUGGGGGUUGGAAAGUUUCGGCGGUUGGGGAUGGACUCGCGGCUUAUCAGCUUGUUGGUGGGGUAGUGGCUUACCAAGGCUUUGACGGGUAGCCGGCCUGAGAGGGUGACCGGCCACAUUGGGACUGAGAUACGGCCCAGACUCCUACGGGAGGCAGCAGUGGGGAAUAUUGCACAAUGGGCGGAAGCCUGAUGCAGCAACGCCGCGUGCGGGAUGACGGCCUUCGGGUUGUAAACCGCUUUCGCCUGUGACGAAGCGUGAGUGACGGUAAUGGGUAAAGAAGCACCGGCUAACUACGUGCCAGCAGCCGCGGUGAUACGUAGGGUGCGAGCGUUGUCCGGAUUUAUUGGGCGUAAAGGGCUCGUAGGUGGUUGAUCGCGUCGGAAGUGUAAUCUUGGGGCUUAACCCUGAGCGUGCUUUCGAUACGGGUUGACUUGAGGAAGGUAGGGGAGAAUGGAAUUCCUGGUGGAGCGGUGGAAUGCGCAGAUAUCAGGAGGAACACCAGUGGCGAAGGCGGUUCUCUGGGCCUUUCCUGACGCUGAGGAGCGAAAGCGUGGGGAGCGAACAGGCUUAGAUACCCUGGUAGUCCACGCUGUAAACGGUGGGUACUAGGUGUGGGGUCCAUUCCACGGGUUCCGUGCCGUAGCUAACGCUUUAAGUACCCCGCCUGGGGAGUACGGCCGCAAGGCUAAAACUCAAAGGAAUUGACGGGGCCCCGCACAAGCGGCGGAGCAUGCGGAUUAAUUCGAUGCAACGCGUAGAACCUUACCUGGGUUUGACAUGGAUCGGGAGUGCUCAGAGAUGGGUGUGCCUCUUUUGGGGUCGGUUCACAGGUGGUGCAUGCCUGUCGUCAGCUCGUGUCGUGAGAUGUUGGGUUAAGUCCCGCAACGAGCGCAACCCUUGUUCACUGUUGCCAGCACGUUAUGGUGGGGACUCAGUGGAGACCGCCGGGGUCAACUCGGAGGAAGGUGGGGAUGACGUCAAGUCAUCAUGCCCCUUAUGUCCAGGGCUUCACGCAUGCUACAAUGGCUGGUACAGAGAGUGGCGAGCCUGUGAGGGUGAGCGAAUCUCGGAAAGCCGGUCUCAGUUCGGAUUGGGGUCUGCAACUCGACCUCAUGAAGUCGGAGUCGCUAGUAAUCGAAGAUCAGCAACGCUGCGGUGAAUACGUUCCCGGGGCC
This 1346-nucleotide ribosomal RNA is filed under the name uncultured bacterium. RNAcentral's name for it is "partial 16S ribosomal RNA". It matches the Rfam family "Bacterial small subunit ribosomal RNA", at positions 28 to 1381 of the family's 1533-position model. The record is from RNAcentral.